GCGGGCAUGGCGGUGUGGAUUGGGGGAAAGUUCGCCGCCGCCAUUGCUGCGCUCAGAAAUUCGCCGUGAUCGUGACCUCGUGACCAGCCGCCGGAGUUCGCCGUUGCGCACCGUGCAGUUUUGUACUGGGUGUGGGGCGCAGAUUCGGUGCAUCAGGCGUCAAUUCCUCGCCGACAUCGGGGCAAGUCUUCGUUCGGGAUCCUAGGUAUGAGCUCCCGCUCGAUUUGCGAUCAUCUAGAAGCCACGUAGCAUCUACCGGCCAAGUAAUUGAUGGGAUUAGGCGCCGGCCACCACUCCGGCCGCUUAGGGGUAGUGUCGUGGCCGCCCGCCAUCGUGGACAUUGUGCCCUAUUUCGUCGCAUGCGAAUUAGGAUAGAAGGGGGUGUUCACUGUCGUCCCUUCGGCAUGAAUCGUGGUGCGGGAGGAAGAAUUAGGGGUUGUAGGCGCCGGCCCGCGAUCCACGGCCAUGGCACCGCCGUGCGCCGGCGCGGUCCCGCCGCUCGUAUUCGUGGGUAUGCCAGGGCCUAGCUACCGUUGGAUUCUUGGCCAACGGUUCUGAGUAAAGAUUACAUACCGGUUAGGGCGAUUAAAUCUUGAUCAUCGAUUGCGCAGUGUAGUGCCCAGAUUAGAUCGAGCGCAGGCUGGAUUUGGACCGUUCGAUGGACAUCUAACGAAUCUGAUAUAAACGUACCCCUUCGAUCAGAGAAUCUUCUUAAAGAGCCCCUGUGUCUUUACUAAAUUAACUCGCAGUCCCAUGCACUGUUGAUUGAGUCUUGGGACUUUUGCGGGUUAGCCCAUGUGCUCUCUGGAAAUUGCGGCGCAGUCCAGACAAUAAUAAACCUAUAAAAAUCAUUUAGAAAAUAAAUUAUUAAUACAAAAACAAUUCCUAGAACUUGUUUAAUUCAUAGAAAAUUCAUAUUAAGUCCAAAUUGAACCAUUACAGUUCCUAUAAUUUUGUAAUAUUAUUGUUUAUCAACAAGUUUCUCUAUUUUCACAUGAAAACUAUAUUAAAUUAAUCUCCUAAUUAAUCUUGUAUCAAAUACAUAAAACCUUCGGAAAUUCAUAACGUUCUCAUUUUAACUCCGAAUUGACUCGUUCUAGUUGCGUUAGCUUCGUAAUAAAAUUAUUUACACUUUGGUAACCUUAGUUUAUCAUGAGACAUGUUGUAAAUAAUUAAUUUGUUUAUCCUAUGUUAAUUGGAUUAAUCUAUGACUAUUGGAUUAACUUCUUUAAUAUUAAUAUAAUAUUCUGAUAUUAUAAUUAUAAUUUGAUUAAAAUAUAAUCUCUAGUCAAGUUAUAAUUAAGAUUAAUGGUGAAUUGAUUAAUUCAUUAGAUUAUCUUUAUAAAAUCAACUCACGACCCAGUUUUAAUUGCUUCAUCAUAUAGAUCUCCCGUAAAUCAUAACUCAGUAAUAGUAGCUCCGAAUUUAGUGAUUCUCAAGCCCACAAUCUGGUAGCAACGUGUAGAUUAUUAUUAUGCAGUCUGUUCUUAUGUUUGGUGUGAUGUUAAUUUUAUCUAUACCAUGUUUGUUUGUAUUGCUACGACUAGCAGCGAGGUUACGAGUCACCUAAAGAUCAUCGUGGUACCUGGAAUCUCAAGUCCCAGGCAAGUUGUGCCCUUGAUCACUUUCAUUUACCCAAUAAUGUUCUUUAUUAUCACUUAUUCAUGCAUAGGCUUAAUUUUGAUGGGACCCACUAGGUCACCCUACACUGAUUAUCUUUUUACCUUGUUCACCCCUGAAUCAUUUGGGUAGUUUUGUUAUUGCUCCAUAUGAUUUUGGGUUUAAUAUUAUAUUAUGUCCAUGUUCCAAUUAUUCUGUUAUUUUAUUUAUGUUUAUGUCAAGAUCAUUAUUUUAAAUUUGAACAUGGAGCUUAACUUGAGAAACACGUGCCACCACAAGGGUGGAAUGGGACGCCCUUGGCUGACUAAUUAGGAAAGCUAGUGGAAGACUACCUUACCCGAAAGGGGCAAGGGCAGUAGGGGAGUUGCAUGCAGAGAGGUUCUCGGGUUGAUUUUGCUGUGAUGGUGGUCAGACGGGGGAUUCCUGCAAGUGCUCUUCCCAUAAACUGUAGCGGGUUUUCGGAAGCUAGUGGAACUUUGUAAAGGCCUCGUAGUGGAUUCCUAGUCAUUCACCUCGGAAGUGUCUAAGGACCUUGCAAACCCUGGCGACAUGGGAUACACGACUUGUGGGUACAGGGUACAACCUUUGUAGAGUGUAAAACUGGUAUACUAGCCGUGCUCGCGGUCAUGAGCAGCUCAGGACUCUCGCAUGAUUAAAUUAUGGAACUAAAUUCAAUUUGUCAUUUGCAUUGCAUGGGAUUUAUUAUUAAUUUUGUUCUAUUAUUAUGGUUUGGUAUUUACUUACAUUUAGUAACUGCUAAUAAAAUUUGACCAACUUAUUAAAAGCAAUGCUCAGCUUUAAGCCCUAUUAUUUAUCAGCCUUACACUUCACAAACUCCCACCUUUGGUGAGUUCAUGCACAUUAUUCCCCACAACUUGUUGAGCGAUGAAUAUGUGAGCUCACCCUUGCUGUCUCACACCCCCCACAGGUCAAGAACAGGUACCACUGGAUGAGGCGCAUGGAGGAUGUUGCGAUGUGUUCGUGAGAGGUCUAGGUCGUCGUCUCUCAGUCAACUUUGGGUUGCUGGAUCGUUGUCUCCUUGCGAUGUAAUUAUUUAUCUAUUUUGUACAGAACUCCUAUUAUAUAGUAAAGUUGUGACAUUCGUUUCUGUAUCAUGAUUCAUCAUAUGUGUGAGACUCGGUCUCAGC
RNAcentral lists this long non-coding RNA (2768 nucleotides) under Zea mays. Its description in RNAcentral is "long non-coding RNA (ZMAY_LNC001905)". Lineage: Eukaryota; Viridiplantae; Streptophyta; Magnoliopsida; Poales; Poaceae. The record is from RNAcentral.